RNAcentral lists this ribosomal RNA (487 nucleotides) under uncultured bacterium. RNAcentral describes it as "bacterial SSU rRNA". It matches the Rfam family "Bacterial small subunit ribosomal RNA", at positions 9 to 507 of the family's 1533-position model. The record is from RNAcentral.
GAGUUUGAUCAUGGCUCGAGGACGAACGCUGGCGGCGUGCCUAACACAUGCAAGUCGAACGGAGAUGUUGAUUUCGGUUGACGUCUUAGUGGCGAACGGGUGAGUAACGCGUGAACAAUCUGACCUUAAGAGGGGGAUAACAACGAGAAAUCGUUGCUAAUACCGCAUAAGACCACAAUGCCGCAUGGCGAAGGGGUCAAAGGAGCAAUCCGCUUAAGGAGGGGUUCGCGUCCCAUUAGGUAGUAGGUGAGGUAACGGCCCACCUAGCCGACGAUGGGUAGCCGAGCUGAGAGGCUGAUCGGCCACACUGGAACUGAGACACGGUCCAGACUCCUACGGGAGGCAGCAGUGGGGAAUAUUGGGCAAUGGGCGCAAGCCUGACCCAGCAACGCCGCGUGAGGGAAGAAGGUUUUCGGAUUGUAAACCUCUGUCGCAGAUGACGAAACAAAUGACGGUAAUCUGUGAGGAAGCCCCGGCUAACUACGUG